Molecule: unclassified non-coding RNA, 330 nt
Filed under: soil metagenome
Description: partial contains 5.8S ribosomal RNA, internal transcribed spacer 2, and large subunit ribosomal RNA
Rfam family: 5.8S ribosomal RNA (bases 1-120)
Source: RNAcentral
GAUGAAGAACGCAGUGAAAUGCGAUAAGUAAUGUGAAUUGCAGAAUUCAGUGAAUCAUCGAAUCUUUGAACGCACAUUGCGCCCCUUGGUAUUCCGAGGGGCAUGCCUGUUCGAGCGUCAUUAUAACCCCUCAAGCUUAGCUUGGUGUUGGGGCCUGCUGUAAUAGAGCAGCCCUUAAAAUCAGUGGCGGUGCCAUUAGGCUCUAAGCGUAGUAAUUCUUCUCGCUAUAGGGUUCUGGUGGAUGCUUGCCAUUAACCUCUAAUUUUCUAUGGUUGACCUCGGAUCUGGUAGGGAUACCCGCUGAACUUAAGCAUAUCAAUAAGCGGAGGA